CAAUGGGCGCAAGCCUGAUGCAGCCAUGCCGCGUGUGUGAAGAAGGUCUUCGGNUUGUAAAGCACUUUCAGCNGGGAGGAAGGGNANUNAGUUAAUACCUUUACGCUAUUGACGUUACCCNCAGAAGAAGCACCGGCUAACUCCGUGCCAGCAGCCGCGGUAAUACGGAGGGUGCAAGCGUUAAUCGGAAUUACUGGGCGUAAAGCGCGCGUAGCCGGUUCGUUAAGUCNGAUGUGAAAUCCCCGGGCUCAACCUGGGAACUGCAUUUGAAACUGGCAAGCUAGAGUCUGGUAGAGGGGGGUGGAAUUCCNGGUGUAGCGGUGAAAUGCGUAGAUAUUNGGAGGAACACCNGUGGCGAAGGCGACCCCCUGGA
RNAcentral lists this ribosomal RNA (373 nucleotides) under gamma proteobacterium SCGC AAA023-G09. Its description in RNAcentral is "partial 16S small subunit ribosomal RNA". It matches the Rfam family "Bacterial small subunit ribosomal RNA", at positions 369 to 733 of the family's 1533-position model. Lineage: Bacteria; Pseudomonadati; Pseudomonadota; Gammaproteobacteria. The record is from RNAcentral.